Molecule: ribosomal RNA, 434 nt
Filed under: uncultured bacterium
Lineage: Bacteria
Description: partial 16S ribosomal RNA
Rfam family: Bacterial small subunit ribosomal RNA
Source: RNAcentral
AGCGAACGCUGGCGGCAGGCCUAACACAUGCAAGUCGAACGAACCUUUCGGGGUUAGUGGCGGACGGGUGAGUAACACGUGGGAACGUGCCUUUAGGUUCGGAAUAACUCAGGGAAACUUGUGCUAAUACCGAAUGUGCCCUUCGGGGGAAAGAUUUAUCGCCUUUAGAGCGGCCCGCGUCUGAUUAGCUAGUUGGUUGAGGUAAUGGCUCACCAAGGCGACGAUCAGUAGCUGGUCUGAGAGGAUGAUCAGCCACAUUGGGACUGAGACACGGCCCAAACACCUACGGGAGGCAGCAGUGGGGAAUCUUGAGCAAUGGGCGAAAGACUGACGCAGCCAUGCCGCGUGAAUGAUGAAGGUCUUAGGAUUGUAAAAUUCUUUCACCGGGGACGAUAAUGACGGUACCCGGAGAAGAAGCCCCGGCUAACUUCGUG